This 1099-nucleotide long non-coding RNA is filed under the name Strigops habroptila (Kakapo). Its description in RNAcentral is "lncRNA (ENSSHBG00005019578.1)". Lineage: Eukaryota; Metazoa; Chordata; Aves; Psittaciformes; Psittacidae. The record is from RNAcentral.
UUUUUUUUUUUUUCCCCAUCCUGAUAGGCAUGGCUGGAAUCAGAUAGCAGGUUUUGGUCUAGCUUUGCAGUAUUUUCGAUGCCAUUACAGGCUUUUUGUUUUUUGUUCACCAGCUGUAGAGCAAAAUUAUUAUUUCCUUUGCACCUCAGUAAGAGCUGUUUUGAUACAUCGAAAGCUUUUUCAUAGGGGUUUCUUUGCUGGUAAAAGGAACAAACACAUUGCAUUAUAGCCAGCAUGCUUUCCAUAUUACAGCAAUACUCUAACAGCAAUUGAGUGAUAUAGCAUAAUUGUAGAAGUGACAGGGAAUAUCAUUCAACUUAAGCCUUCCUGUACAGUUACCUGAGAGGUGGAGAUGGCUAAAAAAGAUGCUGUAAGUCACCUCCUGGAGAAGCCUACCUGUCCCCAAACACAUGCUAAUAUAACUUGAAACCAACACAGUGUAGUGCAGACUCCUUACAUCCUAGCUCUGUGUCCAGCCGCUGUGAUAGUGGAGGUGAGCAACGAUUGAAUCCAUCAUUGCAAGAGAUCUCUGAGUAUCUCCUUUGGCUCUGUGUGUGAGUUAAUCUCCCUGAAGUUUAGCUUUGAAAACUUCAGAAUAUCACACUAUGACUGUAUUCUUACUUUUCUUGUUCUCUGUGAAUUUUGGUGCUGAACUACAGUCCUGAAUGUAUUUUUAUUGAGUGUAUUGCAGGUUUUACCCAGUAAUGUGGUAGCAUUUACCAAAUCUCUCUACAUUUAUGUAUUGUGAGUUUGUAAAGAUGUCUGUCUGCAGGCAGGAAGAUUUUGCAUGAUUUUAGUUUAGUUGGAAACUGCUUUCCAAACAAUAAUUCCUUACAGAGUGAUAAAGGAUGAUCUUUUGGACUGAAUAUAAGUCUUUUAAGCUCUUCUCCUGGCUGUAUGCUCAUGGCUUCCUUUGGCAAACCCCCUCCUUUCUGUGUUGCUUGGUUUUGAUAAAGAUGAGAUAAUUUGUUAGUGUUUGUACAGUACUCUAGUGACUUUAAUUUUCAUGCUUUCUAGCUUCAGUAAAAUCCAGGUUUAUAUUAAUAGUAUUAAACUAAAUUUGUCUUAUUAAGCCCAGCUUUUCUCUUGUUUUCCAAAA